UACGUAGGGGGCGAGCGUUGUCCGGAUUUAUUGGGCGUAAAGAGCGUGUAGGCGGCUUGGUAGGUCUGCUGUGAAAACUCGGGGCUCAACCCCGAGACGUCGGUGGAAACCACCUGGCUAGAGUCCGGAAGAGGAGAGUGGAAUUCCUGGUGUAGCGGUGAAAUGCGCAGAUAUCAGGAGGAACACCGAUGGCGAAGGCAGGUCACUGGGCCGCAACUGACGCUGAGGAGCGAAAGCAUGGGGAGCGAACAGG
This 253-nucleotide ribosomal RNA is filed under the name uncultured bacterium. RNAcentral's name for it is "partial 16S ribosomal RNA". It matches the Rfam family "Bacterial small subunit ribosomal RNA", at positions 524 to 776 of the family's 1533-position model. The record is from RNAcentral.